GCCAGGCACGGUGGCGCACGCCCGUAAUCCCAGUGACUUUGGAGGCUGAGGUAGGAGGAUCGCAAGUUUGAGGCCAGCCUUAGCAAUUUAGUGAGACCCUUGGCUACCCAGUGCGACCUUGUCUCAA
Molecule: small RNA, 127 nt
Filed under: Marmota monax (woodchuck)
Lineage: Eukaryota; Metazoa; Chordata; Mammalia; Rodentia; Sciuridae
Source: RNAcentral